GGACUCGUGAGCGCGCCGCUGCCGGGACCGCUCCUGGGCCUUAGAGAAGACGCGGAUAAGGGCCAAGGAAAGAGGGAGGUAGCGGUUGCUGAGCUCCUUCGGCGCUUCGGCUCCUGUAGCUCUGACUAUUCGGACCGUCAAGGUAGAAUAGGAGGCGGCCAGUUCCCCGCUCUAAGAAGUUGCCUGCGCUCUGAGAGACAGGUGCCGCUGUGUUGCCUAGGAUGAUCUCAAACCGCUAAGCUCAAGCAAUCCUCCUGCGUCGACUUUCCAAAGCGCUGGAAUUAUGGGCGUGAGCCACUGUGCCCAGGUGGGUUUUCUAUAUAUCAGAUUAUGUCAUAUGCAGAGAUAAUUUAACUUCUUUUCUGAUUUGGAUGACUUUUAUUUCUUUUUCUUGCCUAAUUACUCUGGUAUAUUCCUUCUUUAAAUUGUUGAGAGUUUUUAUCAUGAAAGAUGUUGAAUAUUAUUAAAUGCUUUUUCUUGCAUCUACUGAAUUGAUCAUAUGAUUUUUAUACUUUGUUUAGUUAAUGUGAAAUAUUGCAUUAGUUGAUUUGCCUAUGUUGAACUAUCCUUGCAUCUCAGGAAUAAAUCCUACUUGAUCUUAGUGUAUGAUACUUCUAAUGUGGCAUUGAAUUUUGUUUGCUAAUAUUUUGUUGAGGAUUUUUGCCUGUAGAGCCAGAAGUCAGGGAUAUUGACCUAUAAUUUUCUUUUCUUUGUAGUUAUCUUUAUCUGGCUUUGAUGUGAGGGUAAUGCUGGCCACAUAAAAUGAGUUUGGAAGUGUUCCUUUCUCUUCAGUUUUAAAUGCUUGGUAGAAUUCACCCAUGAAGCUAUCUGGUCUGGGCUUUUCUUUUUUUUUUCCUUUCCUUUCUUUUUUGUUUUUUACUAGCCCUGCCAAAGGAAGACCUCAAAAAAUUAGCUAAAAAGUCAGAGUCUUUCCUCUCCAUAGGAAUCUUGAGUAAAAGGUGAAAAAUUUAUGUGACCUGAAAACAAGCCAGAAUAUUGCUGGGUUUUUCUCUAUUGGGAAGUUUUUGGUUACUGGAUCAAUCUCCUUACUCAUAAUUGGUCUGUUCAGAUUUUCUGUGUCUUUGUGAUUCAGUCUUGGUAAAUUGUAUGUUUCUACAAAUUAGAGUACUACCUUGAACUUAACAGAUGUUCAUUAAAUAUUUAAUUGACUGAUUCUUCUUGUCUCAUAAGAAUGAUAUAAGAAAAUACAUAGUGUUAAUGUCAUGUCAAGCCGUUAAAACGUUAAAGUUAUAAUGUGAGAAGUUACUUUGAAUGGUUCAGCCCAUGAGCAGGGUAUUUUGUAUAGCAGCAAUAACUAUUUGUUUAUUUUUAUUUUUUUAGGGACAGGGUCUUGCUAUGUUGCCCAGGCUGGUGUCAAACUCCUGGACACAAGUGAUCCUCCUGCCUUGGCCUUCCAAAGUGCUGGGAUUACAGUCAUGAGCCACCACACCUGGCUCAUUAUUUGUUAUUGGUAACAUAUUAGAUAUCUAUUGCUGCAUAAUGAAUAACCCCAAAACAUAGUGGCUUAAAACAAUAAAAAUCAUUUAUUAUCUCUCACAA
This is a long non-coding RNA of Homo sapiens (human), 1560 nucleotides long. RefSeq lists it as uncharacterized. The transcript has 2 exons. Lineage: Eukaryota; Metazoa; Chordata; Mammalia; Primates; Hominidae. The record is from RefSeq and is a predicted model, not a curated record.